UACAGAGGAUGCAAGCGUUAUCCGGAAUGAUUGGGCGUAAAGCGUCUGUAGGUGGCUUUUUAAGUCAGCCGUCAAAUCCCAGGGCUCAACUCUGGACAGGCGGUGGAAAAUAACAAGCUGGAGUACGGUAGGGGCAGAGGGAAUUUCCGGUGGAGCGGUGAAAUGCGUAGAGAUCGGAAAGAACACCAACGGCGAAAGCACUCUGCUGGGCCGACACUGACACUGAGAGACGAAAGCUAGGGGAGCGAAUGGG
RNAcentral lists this ribosomal RNA (253 nucleotides) under uncultured bacterium. RNAcentral describes it as "partial 16S ribosomal RNA". It matches the Rfam family "Bacterial small subunit ribosomal RNA", at positions 524 to 776 of the family's 1533-position model. The record is from RNAcentral.